GCCGGUGUGGCGAAAUGGCAGACGCACAGGACUUAAAAUCCUGGGACCUUAAACAGUCGUGUCGGUUCGAGUCCGACCACCGGCACCA
RNAcentral lists this transfer RNA (88 nucleotides) under Pedosphaera parvula Ellin514. RNAcentral describes it as "tRNA-Leu". It matches the Rfam family "tRNA". From Rfam's summary of the family: Transfer RNA (tRNA) molecules are approximately 80 nucleotides in length. Their secondary structure includes four short double-helical elements and three loops (D, anti-codon, and T loops). RNAcentral also lists the same sequence under 3 other names. Lineage: Bacteria; Pseudomonadati; Verrucomicrobiota; Pedosphaerae; Pedosphaerales; Pedosphaeraceae. The record is from RNAcentral.